GCGGCGGACCGCCCGGGUCGCCCCCGGCGCCCGCUGGGGCCGGGUGCUGGCCGCCGCCGCGCCGUUCGGCCUGGCGCCGCUGUC
RNAcentral lists this transfer RNA (84 nucleotides) under Thiemannella venezuelensis. RNAcentral's name for it is "Planomonospora venezuelensis tRNA-Pro". The record is from RNAcentral. Lineage: Bacteria; Bacillati; Actinomycetota; Actinomycetes; Streptosporangiales; Streptosporangiaceae.